CCUACGGGAGGCAGCAGUGGGGGAUAUUGCACAAUGGGGGGAACCCUGAUGCAGCGACGCCGCGUGGGUGAAGGAGUAUUUCGGUAUGUAAAGCCCUAUCGGCAGGGAAGAAGCAAGACGGUACCUGACUAAGAAGCCCCGGCUAACUACGUGCCAGCAGCCGCGGUAAUACGUAGGGGGCGAGCGUUAUCCGGAUUCACUGGGUGUAAAGGGAGCGUAGACGGCCAUGCAAGCCAGGGGUGAAAGCCCGGGGCCCAACCCCGGGACUGCCCUUGGAACUGCAUGGCUGGAGUGCGGGAGGGGCAGGCGGAAUUCCUGGUGUAGCGGUGAAAUGCGUAGAUAUCAGGAGGAACACCAGUGGCGAAGGCGGCUUACUGGACUGUAACUGACGUUGAGGCUCGAAAGCGUGGGGAGCAAACAGGAUUAGAUACCCGGGUAGUC
This 441-nucleotide ribosomal RNA is filed under the name uncultured bacterium. RNAcentral's name for it is "partial 16S ribosomal RNA". It matches the Rfam family "Bacterial small subunit ribosomal RNA", at positions 338 to 795 of the family's 1533-position model. The record is from RNAcentral.